CAGUCGCCACGGUAAUCCGUAGGUGGCAAGCGUUGUCCGGAAUUAUUGGGCGUAAAGGGCUCGCAGGCGGUUUCUUAAGUCUGAUGUGAAAGCCCCCGGCUCAACCGGGGAGGGUCAUUGGAAACUGGGAAACUUGAGUGCAGAAGAGGAGAGUGGAAUUCCACAUGUAGCGGUGAAAUGCGUAGAGAUGUGGAGGAACACCAGUGGCGAAGGCGACUCUCUGGUCUGUAACUGACGCUGAGGAGCGAAAGCGUGGGGAGCGAACAGGAUUAGAGACCCCGGUAGUCCCUGUCUCUUAUAC
Molecule: ribosomal RNA, 301 nt
Filed under: uncultured bacterium
Lineage: Bacteria
Description: partial 16S ribosomal RNA
Rfam family: Bacterial small subunit ribosomal RNA
Source: RNAcentral